RNAcentral lists this microRNA precursor (81 nucleotides) under Phlebotomus papatasi. RNAcentral describes it as "mir-1 microRNA precursor family". The record is from RNAcentral. Lineage: Eukaryota; Metazoa; Arthropoda; Insecta; Diptera; Psychodidae.
AAUUCAGAGUCAAACUCCUCAGUUUUCCAUGAAACUUCCCAUAUAAUUUCCAUGGAAAACUGAGGAGUUUGACUUUGAAUU